GUUUUCGUCUAUAUUUAAUGCUUUAUGCAUGCGUCUAAAGAUUCGAUGUGACGGGGAAUGUGAAAAAUUUUGCAAAUUUUUUUGAACUAAACGAGGCCUAAAUCGUGGUUGGCAAGCCAAUGCAGCAGGUCGCCUCCUUGACCCAUCAUCUUCCGCACUUCUGUGCAGCAGGAGCAGCUGAUCGUCACGCGCCCCGACGACUGGCACCUCCAUCUUCUCGAUGGCGGUGUCCUCGAGUGUCAGCACUCCUCAUCCAGGCGAGCCCAAGGAAGCAUCCAGGCCCAAGAGGAAGGGAACCAAGAGUAUAAAGCUUAGUGGGCCGGAAUGGGUUUGCGACGCUUGCGAAGGCCUGCGUGGCUAAGAUAUAUGGAGGAAUCGUUCACUUGUAAGCAUCAUCGAAGAAACUAGAACAGAACUUUCAAUUUCUUUUUGCCCGCCGAGCAUUCUGCUGGCGGCCAACUACUACGUUACUGUACAUCUACUUCUUCUUCGUUGAUUCGAUCUGUGAGUUCGCAUCCUCUGUUUGUCUCCGGCGAGCAGGAGGCUGACAUCGAGGCCGUGCUGCCCCACAGUACGAGGCAUUUCGGGAGGGCCACCAUCAUGCCCAACCUGAAGCCGCCGGUGACCACAACGGCACGGGCGAUGGAGUACAGGGAGGAGAUGAUGAGGGCGCUGCCACCAGGGAGUAGCUUCCUGCCGCUCAUGACACUGUACCUCACGGACAACACUAGCCCAGAGGAGAUAAAAGCGCGCAAGAGAGAGUGGUGUAGUCUUUGCUGCGAAGCUGUAUCCCGCCGGAGCAACUACCAAUUCCCAGGAUGGUGUGCCCGGAAGUGCUUGCCUGUCCUGGAGGAGAUGGUCAGGCAGCAAAUGCCUUUGCUUGUUCAUGGAGAAGUCACAGAUCCACAUGUUGACAUCUUUGACCAUGAGAAGGUUUUCAUUGAUAGAAUAUUCGCACCACUUGUACAAAAACUUCUACCGCUGAAAAUUGUUAUGCAACACAUUACAGCUAUCGAUGCAGUGUUCAUAGAAUCAUGUGAACAAGGUCAUGUUGUUGCAACAGUGACUCCCCAGCAUCUCCUACUCAAUAGGAACGCUUUAUGUCAGGGUGGCUUGCAGCCACACAAUUACUGCUUGCCAUUACUGAAACGAGAGAUUCAUAAGUAUGUUGGAUUCACCCUCUAAGAAUGCUACUGCUUGUUAUAAAUGCACAAUGAAAAUGAUAUUAUUUCCUUUCUAAAAAAUACUAGAUAUUUCUUCAGCAAUUAGCCAAUUAAGAAACCACUUUUAAACUUGCAUGAUGAAUCCAUGACAAUCAUUUAGUUCAAAAUGUGACCAAAUAUUCCUUCAGCGACAUAUCACUAGAUGCAUAACAAUAUUCUUGUCUCGUAUUUUUCUUUAACCUCAUUAAGAUUGGGCUAUUGCCCAUAUUUCAAUCAAUUGUCAUGUUGAAACUUUUUGUUCUGUAAUUUUUUGAACUGUUUCUGAACCUUCAACCUAGGACAAGGUAUUGAGCUUAUCUUUCAACGGUGUUUUUCUCUCACAACAAAUCAGCGAAUACUACUUUCAGCCAUGACUUUCUUGGUACUGACAGCCCUCCCCAUGAUAAACGGAACAAUGAAUGUCCCUGUGAAUAUGCAGGAAUAUAUAGCGCUUCUGUUGCCUUGUCUCUUUACGCGAAGAUAUUUGAAGAGGCUGGAGGUCUUGAUAACCUAGAUGCUUUUACAAGCUUCAAUGGCCCUGAUUUUUAUGGUCUCCCAAGGAACACUUCUAAGAUCGUCUUGAGAAAGAGUGGCUGGAAAGUUCCCGCAACACAGUUCAGGGGAGAUUGGGCCUAUGUUUGCUGGCAGCACCCUUGAAUGGCGGUCCAUCUGAUGAUGAGCCUAAAGAAUAAUAAAGGUAUGCAUUAUUGGACGCUGCACUUGAGGGGAUAAAUAAGUGGAGUUUUUCCAGUUCUUUUUCCUUUUCUGUUAGAAUCAGCAUAGCAAAUUGUUCAGCCAUACUGGACGGUUCUUGAAGGCAAAGUUAGUGGGAGUAACUUGUUGAAAGCGACGACGUGUGAUUCGCGCAUUCGAGUUCUUUUAUCCCUUUUGGAUUGCAGCACAAUUUCAGAAACAGCUAUAGACCGCUGUAUAUCAAGGUGUGCUUUACUGAUCUAGACACUAGAACUAGACUAGAGCAAACAUAAUGAAUACGUAAAUUUUAGCACUGCAGUUGUAUAUCAA
Molecule: RNA transcript, 2225 nt
Organism: Sorghum bicolor (sorghum)
Lineage: Eukaryota; Viridiplantae; Streptophyta; Magnoliopsida; Poales; Poaceae
Gene name: dihydroorotase, mitochondrial
Exons: 6
Source: RefSeq, a predicted model, not a curated record